RNAcentral lists this non-coding RNA (25 nucleotides) under Cricetulus griseus (Chinese hamster). The record is from RNAcentral. Lineage: Eukaryota; Metazoa; Chordata; Mammalia; Rodentia; Cricetidae.
ACUUGUGAGCUGUUAUAAUAUACAC